RNAcentral lists this ribosomal RNA (495 nucleotides) under uncultured bacterium. RNAcentral describes it as "partial 16S ribosomal RNA". It matches the Rfam family "Bacterial small subunit ribosomal RNA", at positions 28 to 507 of the family's 1533-position model. The record is from RNAcentral.
GACGAACGCUGGCGGCGUGCCUAAUACAUGCAAGUAGAACGCUGAAGGAGGAGCUUGCUUCUCUGGAUGAGUUGCGAACGGGUGAGUAACGCGUAGGUAACCUGCCUGGUAGCGGGGGAUAACUAUUGGAAACGAUAGCUAAUACCGCAUAAGAGUAGAUGUCGCAUGACAUUUGCUUAAAAGGUGCAAUUGCAUCACUACCAGAUGGACCUGCGUUGUAUUAGCUAGUUGGUGAGGUAACGGCUCACCAAGGCAACGAUACAUAGCCGACCUGAGAGGGUGAUCGGCCACACUGGGACUGAGACACGGCCCAGACUCCUACGGGAGGCAGCAGUAGGGAAUCUUCGGCAAUGGACGGAAGUCUGACCGAGCAACGCCGCGUGAGUGAAGAAGGUUUUCGGAUCGUAAAGCUCUGUUGUAAGAGAAGAACGAGUGUGAGAGUUGAAAGUUCACACUGUGACGGUAUCUUACCAGAAAGGGACGGCUAACUACGUG